This 8720-nucleotide long non-coding RNA is filed under the name Coffea arabica (coffee). RNAcentral's name for it is "long non-coding RNA (CARA_LNC002638)". Lineage: Eukaryota; Viridiplantae; Streptophyta; Magnoliopsida; Gentianales; Rubiaceae. The record is from RNAcentral.
UUUUUUUUUUUUUUUUUUGUGUUUUUAGGCUAACCUUAAACGGUUACAACUUGCAUUUACUACUUGAGCUCGCACUGGAAUAGAAUUACACUUGUUAACUUUUUCUGCUUUCUUUUCACGAUAAAAGUUUGGAUAAGACCUAAUCUACUAGCUCUAAUCAUUUAAAAUUUAAAUUUGGACGCAUCUUCUUCAUUGUGCAUAAAUACUUAAAUUGAUAAAAUGAUGUGGUAAAUUUUGACCUACUAAGUAGAGUACGAAAAGUGUAAAAAGACUUUAACUAAACAAAGGAUGACUGAGUCUAUCUUUCAAAAGGAAAAAAAAAAGGAUAACUGAGUCUAUCCAUGUGUUUUUAUAUUUUUGUGGUGGCCAGUACUAUGCUCGCAAGUCUGAAGCAAUAAUGAACUUACGAAACAAUCUCAAUAAUUCAGUGUGGUGACUAAAAAAAAAAAAAAUUCAGUGUGGGUGGGAUUGAAAAGGAACUUACAACCAUAGUCAUCCAUGGUAGAUGGGUAGACGCACUUUAUUAGAUACAUUUUAGAAUUUGUUUUGGUGAUUUUAGGCUAAUCUAGCUAAUUUUUAACUUUGUUCCUAAUUUUUAUUGAGCAGAGAUUUAGAAAGACGUAAAGGGUUAAGCACACAUUCUAAUAAAUUUUUUAUUUUUUAUUAUUUUUUAAACACUAUAAGUUUAAUCUACUCUUGCUCCUACUUUUUCUUUUUAAUUUUGCAAGCAAGAGAGGAGUGGAUCUUAAAAAAAAAUAGGGAAGGAGGCGAGGAAUUUGAACUCAAGACCUCUAAUUUUUGAAAUUUCAAUUUUAGCUAUUACAUGAAGACUUUCUUAGCACUCCUACUCUUACUCUAAUACAAAAGCCAUCCUUAUGAAUUGCAUAUAACUCUUGGUCUCUAAGUCGUAGGCUCAAUGCAAGUGUACGAGUGAUUAUAUUCAAUUUGGUUAUGGCAGUGAAGUUUCAUGUCUCCUCAAUCUUUCAUUGCUUGAGAGUUAUUAACUGACUAUCAAACAAUUAACAAAUAUUUUGUGGGAUGAUUUCUUUAGGUUCCUGAAUGUCUAAAAGGAAAAAUAAGUACCUGAAUUGACCACCUAAGAUGGCAUUUGAUUCUAUAAAGGGAAAAAAGAAAGUUCAAUUUCUAUACAAUGGAAAAUACUGCUGGAUGAGGUUAUUUGUUUGGUGAGGGUAGAGGAAUUCUAGUGGUUAUGUAAUUUAGAUAUGUUAAAUUAUGAUGUUAAAGGUUAAUUUUUACUUGAUCUAUGUAAUAAUUUUUAUCAAAUACAUUAGUCCGAUAGUAUAGACAAUUCAUUCGGAUAGAGUAUUACAGUUCAUGGAACAAGUAUGAUCAAGAAAGCAUUAAAUCCCACCAUCCUUAACCAAUUGGCUAUAGAUUCACUCAAUUUUCUAUAUAGCUUUAAUCAAAUUUCUUGACAAAUUCAAGAGAAAGAAGGAUGAUGACAAAUGAAAUAUGAAGGAAGCUACUCGUGAAACAAGAGAGCACUACCUUUAUCAUUAGUUGUCAUGAUUUUUCCUCAUUUACGAAAAAAGAGAAAAAAAAAAAGAACUUCCUACUAUACUUAGGCAUACCUGUAUCUCUGCCCACGUGAAAAUCUUCUAAAGGCCUAACCCAAACCAUCAUUCAUUUUCACAGUUCUUUGAUUUCCUCAACCUUCUAGUAUACUUCGCCUUAACUUCUCAGCAUUUCCGAUCUUUAAUUUCACAAUUCUUUUUCUUAAAAAAGAAAGUAAUGUCCUUUUGUUUCCUUGUCUGUGGCAUCCUAGAAUAUUUGCAAGGCCAUUGCUAUUUAUUUAACUUAGUAUUGAAAUUUUGGACUAUACAUUUGCAAAUAAAUAACUUAGUAGUGAAAAUUUGGACUAUACAUUUGCAAAUAAAUAACAAUCUAAAAUACUAAUUCCAUCAUUGUAUGAUUGUUUUGCUAUUUUAUCCAUGAUUCUUCAAUGGCCAUUUUUUAUCUCAUAGGCUAAUUAUCCAAGCUGUAUUUUUAGGGCUGGCAUUGGAAUAGAAUUACACUCCUUGGUUGUUUGGUAACUGUUUCUGCUCUCUUUCAUCGAGUAGAGAGACUUGCAAAAGAGCAUUUGCCUAAAAGUAGGAUUUGAUCAAGAAAAAAUGGUGCAGAAAAGGAAGUGUAAAAUACUUGACUAAAGUAAAGCAUUGCACAAUGCAUAAAAAAGGAUGUACUACCCAAUUUUGAUUUGUUAAAAUUUGAUUUGUUAGAGAUUUGUCAGUUUGUAGUGAAAAAUACAAACAAAGGGUCACAAAACUAUUUUAGAGGCAACACUUAAGCUCCUUUAUUGGAUAGACAGCGUCAAAAUCUGUUUCAGAAACUUUCUGGCCUCUGAGAAGGAUUCGCGGAUGGGUCCACCUUCCCAACUGGGAGUCCAGUCGCGGAUCCACUAUGCUAAAAGAGCCUCACAAUGUCCCGGACGGAUAAACCUUUCUUAGAACCAAUUGGCUUCGCCGAUUGUGACCGGAGAAUCGCAAACUCCUUGGACUCAAUCGAAUUCGGCUAGAUUCAGAGCCAAAUCUAGAUCCACAAACGGAUCGUCAAGGAUCCAUUUGCGGAUCUUGUGUCUCGUUUUGUCCAAAGGUUCUGAGUUUCCUUGUUCCAACAAGUCACAUUUCUAUUUCAUUUCACAAUCUAUCCCAACAAUCCAUAUGUUCUCGUGUGGUUAAAAUUACAAAACUCAAGCUCACUUGAAUAGUUAGUCCAUGCAUUAGAAAUUUUAGUGCAGUCAUUCAUGGCGGAUGCAUCAAAUUAGAUGCAAUUUACCCUUUUUUUUGUGUUUUUAGGCUAAUCUGACUAACUUUUAACUUUGUCCUUGACUUUCAAAGAGCAGAGUUUUAGAAAGAGAGAAAAGAUUAUACACACCUUCUGAAAAAUCUUUUAUCAUGAUGCAAGACAUGCAAUCUCGGUGCAUUAAAAAUUCUUAGCGAAACAAGUUAGAUGCUAAAAUUACUUGUUUAUUGUUCAAUAGAAAAAGAAUACUUUAAUAGUGGAAGUUUUCCCUCUUAUUCUAUAGCUUAGAAUUUUGUCUCAAAAUCUUGCAAAUGAUUCUGAUAUUAUGCUUCAAGCAAACAACGUACGAUUGAGAUCUUCUCCGAGUCAGUUGCAUAUCUCAUCCAAAGUAUCAAAUUUGACAAAGAAUCACUUUAUUGCAGAGCAUAGUAAAUAAUCUGAAAAUUGGCUUCUAAAUUUUGAUAAACGCUUAUCCUCAAAACCUCACCCCAUCCCCAACCCCACCCCAAACAAAAAGGCAAAAGAUUGAUAGUCACAUAGAAUCGAUAAGAAAGGUAAAAAUAUAGUUAAACCCUUAAGCUCCUUUUGCUGGGAGGAAAUCCUAAACAAUUGUCAAUUUUAUUAAACAAGAUAGUUCUGGGUGAAAAACCCUUCAUUUGAUUUUGUUAGCAUAGUGUAAAAAGUUGAAUGCAUCCCUUAAAAAGAGCAGGGACCAGAUAAUUUGCAAUGAGGACUUUUCCACUUUGAAUUCAUUGUGCCAAAGUCGGAAGUUAGUUACAUCCUCUAAAAGAGGAUGGAUCCAUUGAUAAAUAGCACCUACUACAAACAUUUAGGUAGUAGUGUUUAUAAUUAACUAAUUAUUGCAUUAACAGGUUAGUGUCUACAUACAUGCGUCACUUUUAGAGUCUAAUUUUCUUGUGAGAUUGAUUUAAAAAUGUUAAGAUCCUUAAUUUGUUUUGUGUGUAUACAUGUUGUGUAAAAAUGAAAUGAAAUCCUUCCAAUCUACCGAAGAAAAGGUGACCGAUGAUAGUCUUGGAGAAAAGACAAAGCCCACGGGAGAAAAAAUAAUUAAUAGGGCCAGUAAUAAAUCCUAUCUUGCAAUUAUAAUAUUAUGCAAAAGAAAUGUAAGCACAAAGUGUAUAAUAUUUACAUGUAUACUACUACUCCACGUUUAGUACGCAGGAAGGGCCUGGAAAACAAAAGAUCUUUUUAGCUUGUCUAUUUCAUUCCAAGUUUGGUAUGGAUCAUUUAAUUGGGAAACCUUUUUGCCUUAAAUAUUCAUUUCAACCUUUUUCUUCAAAUCUCCAUUGCUCAAAAAAACAUAUGGAAGUUCUUUCCAAUUUCAUCUCAAAAUGUCCAAAAUAGUAGGAUGUCAAAUUUAUUUUUAUAAGUCUUUCUUAUGAUGUCAAAUAUUUUUAUAUGUCUUUUUUAUUAAUAUUUCCAAAAAAAACAUAUGGAAGUUCUUUCCAAUUUCAUCUCAAAAUGUCCAAAAUAGUAGGAUGUCAAAUUUAUUUUUAUAAGUCUUUUUUAUUGCAUCACCAUAUCUUUGGACAUUUGUCAACUUAAUUAAUAUUUGAAUGUUAUUUUUCAUAAUAAAUAAUAUUUCUAGUAUUUAAAUAAUUGUUUUUUACGAGCAAACAAGUGUUUUAAGAUACUUUAUUAUAUGAUGUUUGAACAAAUGUGUGAAAAUUUUUGAAUUUCAUUUCAAAAUGAAAACAUAAUAAAAAUUACAAUAUAUAUUACAUUUACUUUGAUUUAUGUAAUUUAUAUUCUACUAUGAUGCAAAAUUUUAACAUAAAAAUCUAUAUGCUAGAAUGAGUCAAGUAUUACAAUUAAAAAAUUUUAGGGUAAAAAACAAAAAAACCCCCUCCGAUAAACCUAAUACACAGAAAAGCCCCCUAUGGUUUCAAAAUAUACAACACGACACCUCAUGCUUUGAACUAAAUUGUAAAGGUGACGGAAUCCAUUAAAUUUAACGGAAAUGACUUGUUGGAACUUAAAAAAAAAUUUAUACCUAAUUUUUAUCAAAUAUACCUAUUCUAUCCCUUAACUCUCAAUUCUCUCUAUUUAGAGAAUAAAACAAAUGAUUCUUUUGAGCUGUCUUUUGCUUAAUUAUAUCAGGGCAUUUUGGUCCUUUUGUCCAUUUCCUUUAAGUUUAACGGAUUCUGUCACCUUUACAAUUUAGUUUAAAGUAUGAGGAGUCGUGUUGUAUAUUUUGAAACCAUGGGAGGCUUUUCUGUGUAUUAGGUUUAUCACAGGGAGCUUUUUUAUUUUUUAUCCAAAAUUUUAACAUCAAUUCUCAAUUAUUCUAAAGGAAAAAAGUGUCAAAAUUUGAUCUAAACAAACAAAUAACAAAAAAAGAAAUAAAAAGUAUUAUUUUUAUAAAUUAAUCAUGGGUAUUUAAGUUAAAAUUUUAUUAAUUGUAUUCCAUCUGACAUGUAAAUAUUGAUUAUAUCAGACACUGGAAAUGAAUCGACAUUUCACUGAGACUUGAUCACCAAACAUUCUAGAGUGAUAAAUUGUUACUUCUACCAUUUUGAGUGGAAAAACCUUUUGAUUAUGGGCAUUCAUGCAUGUGAAUUGAAAGCUAGAGUAUUCAAUGAGCACUUGUUAAAAUGUCUAAAACGAAAUCCUUAAUAAAUCAAAACAAAAAGAAUCUUUUCACAGAUAUUAUGCUAUUGCUAUAUGACCUUUUUAUAGAUUAGCUAUACAGUAUGGACUAGAAAACUUAUGACAAAUAAUAUUCCCCAAAAGAAGGGGAAAAAAAAGAUACGAUAAGAAACCAUGGUCGGCAUUGCAUUUUAGUCACUUUUCAGAUUUAAUUUUAUUUCACUUAUAGGAAAAUUGACGCUUGCUGCCUCAAAUAUUUUCAUUUGUUAAUUUAAUGUGAAUAUUUUGAAUUUUUACUUACUACUUGCGUAUGCAAUUUGAUGCAUAUUUGCCUUUAUUGUUGUUUAACGCCAACAAGACAUUGGUGAUUGUAAACAUAAACAUAGCAUUUGUUCGCAAAAUACCAGAAAAUGUAAAAAUGUGGUAGGCCUCGCAUAUGAAUAAUACAUAUUAUAGCCAUUUCAUCAGUUUAGUAUGUAAGAUUAUUAUUUUAGUGUCUAGUCUAUCUUAUCCGAUAGGUACUCAAUUGCUAUGGUCCUAUUCUCCCAUUUUGUACUUAUGCGCUAUGGAAGGGAAAUUUUUAGAUUUCACACUGAAAGUAAAAGAAAAAAUGUUUUAGAUAUUUUGUCUUUACAAAUUCAUUUUUUUUAAUUCAGAUUCCUUUCUAAAUAGACUAUAAGAACCAAAGGAUAAAGGUAAUUCACACCCAAUUUCUCGAAAGAUUAAUUUUUUUUGAAAAAGGAAAAACACUAAUUGGGUUCCCUUACAUAUUUAUUUACAAUUUUUUUGAUUCCAUCAUAAAUUUAUCUUUAUAGUAGCAGUUUCGACUGUUUAGUUCCUCCUACACAAAGUAAUGGAGCCAAAAGUCUUAUAUUUAUCACAAUAAAUUGUUUGUUAAAAUUUAAAUAUGAUCAAAUUUCUAAUUAUUGUAUGUUAGAUGCUUCAUGUAAUGAAAUUAAAGAGUUCGUUCCCAACCACUGCCAUUUUCUAUUUAAUUAUGCCUCCUCCUCCUCCUCCUCUUCUUCUUCUUCUUCUUCUUAAGAAAAAGAGAGAAAGGAAAAAUAAGAAAAAAAGAAAGGAAAAAGAAAAAGACUGAAAGAAUUAAGAAACUAUGAAAGGUUUUCUGAGGUAUAAUUUCAAAGCCUUUUGACAACAAAACUUAGAAACCCUGAGGUUUUAGGAAUAUGAUUUUUUUUCCCCUGUUGACGAGACUGAACCAUAAAUCACCAUGGCAACAUAGGAAGUUACAAAUUACAAUAUAUAUAUAUAUUUGUAAUUGCAACGCAGGAAGUUACAAUAUACAUUUGCUAUUCUAACAAUUAUUUUGGUAAAAAAGAAUAGAAGAAAAAUAAAUGAAAUUGACGGAAAGCGAUUAGUUUCUACAUGCAAACAGUCUACCUUUUCAGUCCUCAGAUGCCAACUUUAUAUUGAAUCAUUGUUGCUGUUCUAAAAAUUAUUCUGAAAGAAAAUCUAGAAGGAAAAAGAAAAAGCAAGAUUGAUAACCAAAAAAAAGAGAUAGUUUGACAGUUAUUUUUGCACUUAAACUCCUAAAAAAAUGUGGAAGGAAAAAAUCGAAAUCCACAAAAGAUUGGCUACUAAACAACCCAACCCCCCCCCCCCCCCCGGCCAAAAAAAAAAAAAAAGCAACACUUUUUUGGUCCCGUAUGCUAACGUGAAAUUACCAUUGCUAUCUUGAAUAACGAAAAGGACAAAAACUAAAGGUUCACAAUUUUUCUAGCUCUGAGCUCAUAGCACUACAAAAAAAAAAAACUUGGUCUGGAAAGACCUAAGUGAUCAUGGUGUCAACUGGUUCAUUAGCAUUCAAUAUGAUUGGGUAAUUUAGUGGCUGAGAUUAAAACUACAAAACUGACUUAGAGGUCUUGAUUUUAAUUUCUUUGUCUCUCCCUAUUUCUUAAAUUCCAUUCUUUUCUUGUUGAAAAAAGCUAAGAAAAAAGGUGAUACUCCUUGGGUUGGUGAUACAGUCAAAAACCAUUGAAGAGACUUUCUAAAAUAUCCUUUUUAAGUAUGACAAGAGAAUACUAAAGGCAUAAUUGAUUUCAGAAUUUUCUGCAUAUUGUUUUGACACUUGCGGGAGAAAUCAGAAAUAUUCCAUCCACUCUGCAAGGUUCCACAUGUGGGGCCAGAGAUUUAAGUGCUGGAAAGGACUUUACAACUGGAGUGAAAAUCUAAGGCUUGUUAUCCUAUGUAGUCAAUCCAUUACAUGACAGUGAAGAAACAGUUAACGCCCAAAUGUUGGGAAUCCAUUGCAAGUUGCUGCGGUGCGACAAUUUGACCUCCAUCAAUUUUUUAAGCCUUAGGAAUGAAUUAUCAAUAUGAGCUUCCAUUCUGAUAAGCAAUGACGGUAACCGAUCUUGCACAAAAUCUAGAAUUGUUAAGUAUUUUAAAUUUGGUUGAGGCUGAGUAACUUUUUAACACAUUCUUGUUAUUCUUAAACCUACUAUCGGAAUUCCAACUUGGACAAAUUUGGAUCUUUAACAAAUCUGCCCCUCUGAGAAGCUUCUUUGCCAUUGAAUCUCUUAAGAUAGCAGAAAAUCAGUCUCCAAGAAAGGUUCUCUAGAUAUCCCAAUUCUUCAAUCUGAGGACAUUGGUCUUGACCUGCAUGAAAGAAUCUUAAUGUUUGAAGACAAGAAAAAUGCCCCAUUUUAGGCAAUGGUGGGAUCUAGAGUUCUCAUGGACAGUAGUGCUUCUUAACUCUCAAAAACUCCCUGUAAAGCUUGCCAACAGAUAUCGGCAAAGUUUUGAUUGCCGUAAUUGAUAGAUCAAGAUAAAAGCAAGUGUAUCGACUUGCUAAUUUAUGUUGGCAACUGAUUAAUAUCUACCUAAGUCAGAAUUAAAAAAAAAAAAAAAGAAGGCAAAAGCUUGCAGGUGAACAUGACAUCAAAUGUAUUAGCCUCCAAAAACAAUAUUAAAAGACUACUUGCCAUUUCCUUCCUGAAAGUGCAUGUGUUUUCUCCAAAUGAUUUAAAUUCAAGGUAACAAAUUUUGCAAAUGUUCUCUGCACCAGAUUUUCCAAAACUCAAAAUAGAUUGUGCAAGAUCAUAUACGUUACAAUGUGUUAAAUUGUAAUACUCAUUGACUUUACAUGUAGCAAUAAUCGUGUAUACUGCAUUGAGGCAUCCUUAACAUAGAACUGAAGCCAGCAUAAUGGUAUAUACUGUAUUGAGGCAUCCAUAACAUAGGCAUAGACAAGUAUUUUCUGAGAAUUUGAGCAAAUUUUGACAACUUAGCAUCCAAUUAGAAUAUGAUCAAUCUCAAAGUAGAGUAUCUGGUAAUGCCAGUACCAUUCAAUGUUGGGGCAGCAGCUCUUGUUACAGCACCUUCCCUUU